This 17-nucleotide ribosomal RNA is filed under the name Dendrobium officinale. RNAcentral describes it as "partial 18S ribosomal RNA". The record is from RNAcentral. Lineage: Eukaryota; Viridiplantae; Streptophyta; Magnoliopsida; Asparagales; Orchidaceae.
GGCCAUGCGGAGUAUUG